UGCAAAAUGGUGCCCGGGUUAUCCAGAAACAUCUGGAUCUAAGCCAUCCCAUUCCUUCUGGAUAUAACCACAAAUUGAUAAAGAAAAAGGAUAUUUUCUGCAUGCUUCACUUAAGGCUCAGGUGACUGCCGCUUGUGGCUUUGACAUGAAAUUCAAGGGUAUUAAACCCCCAGUUUAGCAAGAUAGAUGAACACGUUUGCAGCAGGACUUCCAGAGAGGACUGGGCAAGUGCUCACAGUUACCUACCCAGGUGAGGGAGCAUUCACAAGGCACAAUUCCACUGGCAGAGCUGGGGCAGUUGGCAACAUCUAACACAGAUGUGGCGACAGGCAGCUAGGAAUGGUACAGCUGUUUGCCAGGUAAACGUCUGCGUGCAUAUAUAUAUGUAUGUGUAGAUAUAUAUGUAUAUGUUAUGGCCUUGGCAUUUCUCCUUUAGAAGAUAAAUGACUUA
RNAcentral lists this long non-coding RNA (451 nucleotides) under Calidris pugnax (ruff). RNAcentral describes it as "lncRNA (ENSCPUG00000004393.1)". The record is from RNAcentral. Lineage: Eukaryota; Metazoa; Chordata; Aves; Charadriiformes; Scolopacidae.